CCCGCUGAACUUAAGCAUAUCAAUAAGCGGAGGAAAAGAAACUAACAAGGAUUCCCCUAGUAACUGCGAGUGAAGCGGGAAAAGCUCAAAUUUAAAAUCUGGCGGUCUCGCGGCCGUCCGAGUUGUAAUCUGGAGAAGCGUCUAUCCGCGUCGGACCGUGUACAAGUCUUCUGGAAGGGAGCGUCGUAGAGGGUGAGAAUCCCGUCUUUGACACGGACAACCGAUGCUUUUGCGAUGCGCUCUCGAAGAGUCGAGUUGUUUGGGAAUGCAGCUCAAAAUGGGUGGUAAAUUCCAUCUAAAGCUAAAUAUUGGCGAGAGACCGAUAGCGAACAAGUACCGUGAGGGAAAGAUGAAAAGCACUUUGGAAAGAGAGUUAAACAGUACGUGAAAUUGCUGAAAGGGAAACGCUUGAAGUCAGUCACGUUGACUCGGAAUCAGCUCUGCUUUUGCUGGGUGUACUUUCUUGUCAAUGGGUCAGCAUCAAUUUUGACCAUUGGAUAAAGUUGCUGGGAAUGUAGCAUCCUUUUGGAUGUGUUAUAGCCUGGUGAUGCAUACAGUGGUUGGGAUUGAGGAAUUCAGCACGCCACCAGGCCGGGUUUUGACCACGUUCGUGCUUAGGAUGCUGGCAUAAUGGCUUUAAUUGACCCGUCUUGAAACACGG
This 661-nucleotide ribosomal RNA is filed under the name uncultured fungus. RNAcentral describes it as "eukaryotic LSU rRNA". It matches the Rfam family "Eukaryotic large subunit ribosomal RNA", at positions 24 to 664 of the family's 3401-position model. The record is from RNAcentral. Lineage: Eukaryota; Fungi.